This 406-nucleotide ribosomal RNA is filed under the name uncultured bacterium. Its description in RNAcentral is "partial 16S ribosomal RNA". It matches the Rfam family "Bacterial small subunit ribosomal RNA", at positions 30 to 526 of the family's 1533-position model. The record is from RNAcentral.
AUUGAACGCUGGCGGCAGGCCUAACACAUGCAAGUCGAACGAGUGGCGGACGGGUGAGUAAUGUAUGGGAAUCUGCCCGAUAGAGGGGGAUAACUACUGGAAACGGUAGCUAAUACCGCAUACCAUCGGAUGAACCCAUAUGGGAUUAGCUAGUAGGUGGGGUAACGGCUCACCUAGGCGACGAUCCCUAGCUGGUCUGAGAGGAUGACCAGCCACGCUGGAACUGAGACACGGCCCAGACUCCUACGGGAGGCAGCAGUGGGGAAUAUUGCACAAUGGGCGCAAGCCUGAUGCAGCCAUGCCGCGUGUAUGAAGAAGGCCUUCGGGUUGUAAAGUACUUUCAGCGGGGAGGUGUUACCCGCAGAAGAAGCACCGGCUAACUCCGUGCCAGCAGCCGCGGUAAUUC